Molecule: ribosomal RNA, 456 nt
Filed under: uncultured bacterium
Lineage: Bacteria
Description: bacterial SSU rRNA
Rfam family: Bacterial small subunit ribosomal RNA
Source: RNAcentral
UACGGGAGGCAGCAGUGGGGAAUAUUGCACAAUGGGCGCAAGCCUGAUGCAGCCAUGCCGCGUGUAUGAAAAAGGCCUUCGGGUUGUAAAGUACUUUCAGUCGUGAGGAAGGUGUUAAGGUUAAUAACCUUAGCAAUUGACGUUAGCGGCAGAAGAAGCACCGGCUAACUCCGUGCCAGCAGCCGCGGUAAUACGGAGGGUGCGAGCGUUAAUCGGAAUUACUGGGCGUAAAGGGCACGCAGGCGGUUAAUUAAGUUGGAUGUGAAAUCCCCGGGCUUAACCUGGGAAUGGCAUUCAAGACUGGUUAGCUAGAGUCUUGUAGAGGGGGUAGAAUUCCAUGUGUAGCGGUGAAAUGCGUAGAGAUGUGGAGGAAUACCGGUGGCGAAGGCGGCCCCUGGACAAAGACUGACGCUCAUGUGCGAAAGCGUGGGGAGCAAACAGGGAUUAGAUACCCGU